This 253-nucleotide ribosomal RNA is filed under the name uncultured bacterium. Its description in RNAcentral is "partial 16S ribosomal RNA". It matches the Rfam family "Bacterial small subunit ribosomal RNA", at positions 524 to 776 of the family's 1533-position model. The record is from RNAcentral.
UACAGAGGGUGCAAGCGUUAAUCGGAAUUACUGGGCGUAAAGCGUGCGUAGACGGUAGCGUAAGUCGGGUGUGAAAGCCCCGGGCUCAACCUGGGAAUUGCAUUCGAGACUGCUCUGCUAGGGCGCGGAAGAGGGAAGCGGAAUUUCCGGUGUAGCGGUGAAAUGCGUAGAUAUCAAGUGGAACACCAGUGGCGAAGGCGAGUCUCUGGACAUUUCCUGACGCUGAGGCACGAAAGCCAGGGGAGCAAACGGG